AGCAGCCGCGGUAAUUCCAGCUCCAAUAGCGUAUAUUAAAGUUGUUGCAGUUAAAAAGCUCGUAGUUGAAUUUCGGGAUCAACACGUCGGUCGUGCCUUCGGUACGCACUAGCGUCGUUGGUUCCUCCCUUCUGACGAACCAUGAUGUCAUUAACUUGGUGUUUUGGGGAGUUAGGACUGUUACUUUGAAAAAAUUAGAGUGUUUAAAGCAGGCAAUCGCUUGAAUACAUUAGCAUGGAAUAAUGAAAUAGGACGUUCGAUCCUAUUUCGUUGGUUUCUAGGAUCAACGUAAUGAUUAAUAGGGAUAGUUGGGGGCAUUAGUAUUCAAUUGUCAGAGGUGAAAUUCUUGGAUUUAUUGAAGACUAACUACUGCGAAAGCAUUUGCCAAGGAUGUUUUCAUUAAUCAAGAACGAAAGUUAGGGGAUCGAAGACGAUCAGAUACCGUCGUAG
This 450-nucleotide ribosomal RNA is filed under the name uncultured Glomeromycotina. RNAcentral describes it as "SSU rRNA". It matches the Rfam family "Eukaryotic small subunit ribosomal RNA", at positions 569 to 1023 of the family's 1831-position model. The record is from RNAcentral. Lineage: Eukaryota; Fungi; Glomeromycota.